Pelobates cultripes (western spadefoot toad) is the source of this 242-nucleotide non-coding RNA. NCBI's taxonomy places the organism in Eukaryota, Metazoa, Chordata, Amphibia, Anura, Pelobatidae. The record is from the annotation of a GenBank genome assembly.
AAAAAACUAAUAUUUGGCCAGUGUUUGUGACUAAGUGGCUACUAAGAAAGACUGGACAUACCCCACUUGCAAUACCUUGGGUUGUCUACUUUUGCAAAUGGUAUGCCAUCAUGGGGUAAUUCUCAUUCCUGGGCUACCACAUGCUCUCAAAGGCAACACAACCAAUCUGGCAAAUUUCAAUGUCAAAAAAAUGAAAUGCAAGCCUAAUAUGUGACUCUCUAACUUUCCAAAACACCAUAAAA